GGGUAGUUUGACUGGGGCGGUCUCCUCCCAAAGAGUAACGGAGGAGCACGAAGGUGGGCUAAUCACGGUUGGACAUCGUGAGGUUAGUGCAAUGGCAUAAGCCCGCUUAACUGCGAGAAUGACGGUUCGAGCAGGUGCGAAAGCAGGUCAUAGUGAUCCGGUGGUUCUGUAUGGAAGGGCCAUCGCUCAACGGAUAAAAGGUACUCCGGGGAUAACAGGCUGAUACCGCCCAAGAGUUCAUAUCGACGGCGGUGUUUGGCACCUCGAUGUCGGCUCAUCACAUCCUGGGGCUGAAGUCGGUCCCAAGGGUAUGGCUGUUCGCCAUUUAAAGUGGUACGCGAGCUGGGUUUAGAACGUCGUGAGACAGUUCGGUCCCUAUCUGCCGUGGGCGUUGGAAGAUUGAAGGGGGCUGCUCCUAGUACGAGAGGACCGGAGUGGACGAACCUCUGGUGUUCGGGUUGUGUCGCCAGACGCAUUGCCCGGUAGCUAAGUUCGGAAUUGAUAAGCGCUGAAAGCAUCUAAGCGCGAAGCGAGCCCUGAGAUGAGUCUUCCCUGAUACUUUAAGUAUCCUAAAGGGUUGUUCGAGACUAGAACGUUGAUAGGCAGGGUGUGUAAGCGUUGUGAGGCGU
This 629-nucleotide ribosomal RNA is filed under the name Vibrio cholerae. RNAcentral's name for it is "partial 23S ribosomal RNA". It matches the Rfam family "Bacterial large subunit ribosomal RNA", at positions 2263 to 2886 of the family's 2925-position model. The record is from RNAcentral. Lineage: Bacteria; Pseudomonadati; Pseudomonadota; Gammaproteobacteria; Vibrionales; Vibrionaceae.